This 5030-nucleotide unclassified non-coding RNA is filed under the name Hevea brasiliensis (rubber tree). Lineage: Eukaryota; Viridiplantae; Streptophyta; Magnoliopsida; Malpighiales; Euphorbiaceae. The record is from RNAcentral.
GUGCACAUGCUAUCCCUUGUUUUCGUUCGCAAAUGCGUUUGAUGGUGCUAGUUUAAAUGUACAUAUCUGUCAUUCUACAUGAAAGAAAUAUCCUCCAAGCACUACUUGCCUGGUAAACAGAAUUCUUACUAGUUUUAAUUGUGAGAUUCUGAUAAACAAGCUUUUGCGUCAUCAAAGUGGAACUAAUUACAGCAAGCCUUGGUAACAUUACAAGAAAUUCUGCAACUGGCCCUGUCCCAUAAAAUAGAACAGCAUACAUGGCAAAGAAAAAUAAUAAGAAUAAACUUCAUUUUCCAUACUCCUGGGCAGUGGGCACAUACACGGUUUCAAAUGGGUACUUCAAUUAUUUCGUUUGCUCUUAUGCUUAGGUGCCUCCUGCAAAUCCAUGCAAUCUGUCCAUUAUCCCUGUAUCUCACUCUCCACAAUCCAAACUUCUCUGCAAUGUCCUUUCCAGUCGAACACCUGCGGUCCCUUAGAAAAUCAACCACCCAUUGUUGUGCUGCUCUUACUUCUUGUUGAAUAUUUCUUGAGCUUUCUGCACUUCUGUUUCUGUUCCUGAUUCCCUCCAUUCGUCCCAUAGCUGCAGCCCCCACAGCUCCAGCAGCAACUGCUCCUGCUGCUCCAUACAUGAUGGAAGAGCCAGUUAGAUGAGCAACUUCUCUGCUCAAAUCUGGUAUCAUUUCUCCCAUUCCAGCUACCAGAUGGGCUCCUAUCUUGAGCGCAAAUGUUACCAAUUUCAUGAAUUUUUUCAUAUAUGGAGCCAAACUUUUCACUGCCCUGUUAUCAACCUGCAUAAUUUCACAACCAAUCUGAUCUUCAACAACGUGCAUUUCUCGUCUGAAUUCACAUAACAUGUGAAGCCGGAGUGCAGUCAUACCAGAGAUCAUGUUAGUGACCAAUCUUCUUGAGUAGUUUUCUGUUCUGACGAAAAAGAACAUGUUAGGUACUUUCCUCUCUUCCAGUUGGACAUUGUAAUUCACAAGGUAGUUCACUUUGCGAUGAAGCUCUAUGAGGAGUCUGUGUUCAUAAUACCUCAACCCUUGUAUCUCUUGCUUCAAGUCUCUAAUCUCUUGUUCGAUAAUCUUGAGUCUCUGCAAAACUUGUUCCACCCCUUUUGCAAUUCCAGAAAAACUUGGAUCAACUGUGUCCAGUUCAUUACCUGGCUGAUCUGUACCAUCUGGAUUUCUUUCUGGUGGGACUUCCAAUUCUGCAGCAAGGUCAUACAAGUCAUUAUAUCUUCUGUGCAAUGCUUCCCGGAAGUCAUCAUCUGAUAGGAGGUCUCGAGCAAGAUCAAAUCCAGCUCUUAGAACUGGUCUGCCAGAGUCGAGAACUGGACCCCAAGUGUGCUGAUAGUCGUAUAGGCUGUCAGCAGGAAGUGAGAGCAGUGCCUGUUUCAAUUGCUGCAAAGGCACAUGUUGGGUUUUUCUGUAUCUGGGCGGCGUCAAGUUUUGCACGCAUUCAGGCCUCAUGACGCUUUCCCUCAAUGUGACGCCAUGGCAGAGACUCUGGAUUGCGGGAAUUAUGAGCUGAUGAAUGAGUCUGAGCGUUUCUGUCAAGUUCUUGGUGGAGCAAGCUAGAACAUCAACGUAGUAUCCCAGCUGUCCUCCAAGUUCUAUUCUGAUGUAGAUACCAUUGAUGUUUAUUGAGAUGAGGUAUUUUUCAAGACUGUAGGUUGCUCCAUGUUGGUUCUUCAAUGCCAUGAUUCUAUUAUGAAGAUUAACCUGGGUUCAAAAGCAAUUGAAAUACAGUGAGUGAGAAAUAGAAGACAAUUUCAGGACUUUCUUGGCACAUAUUCCCAGUGAAGUGCCAUAAGAAAAUAAUCUAUGGUAUUCCCUAAGCGUUUUAAACUUAUUUGAGGUUACAAUUCGGUACAAAACAGGAGGAACAAUCAGAUAAAAGUAGACUCAAAUAUUACCUGCAGACGAGGAAAGAAGCCUGGUGUGAGAAACAUGUGGCUUGAAUCGUCACAUUCAAGAUGCCUCCCUGCAUAAAGGCAGUCAGGCGUAGUUAACUGCCACCUCUGUGGCCUCCCUCUGCCUUCCUCAAGAAUUGAGGGGAUCAGUAGUGGAGAAUUUGAAUCUGAUGGAUCUUGUUCAUAGCACAGUUCUAGUUUGAGCAUCAUUCUCACAAGGUCACUGGCCUCUAAGUUCUCAAAGACCUUUGAACCCAUUCCAGGAAUUUGACUUUGUAAACUUCCUCUUAGCAUCUUCUCCAAUUCUUUUCUGCUAAUGAAGCCAUUAUUCUCCAUGGAGCUUUGCUUUCUAACAUCCAAUUUUAUUAGUUGGCUAAGCACUUCACUGCAGAACCACUCACAAUCUAAGAUUAAGAAACCUAAUUCAUCAAAAUAAAUCAAUUCGCCAAUAUGAUGAAGGCAACUAGCUACAGCUCUCCUCCUCAUUUCCAUCUUUUCUUUAUUGUCAUGUCUGGAACGAAUUCUCAAUGGUGGAACCUUCACUUGGCAAAGCUCACCAAAUUCUUUCCACUUCAUUGCUGGUUUGUUGUAGUUCUCUGCUCUCCAGUCUGAUAAAAUUUGAAUUAGAUCAUUGCAAAGCUGAUAAACUUGUGGUACUCUUUCAAGAAUUGUCUUGCUUGUCUUCCGAAGAUGAUGAGCGAGUUUACUAACUGAUGCAGAAGAUCUUGCAUCAAUUGUGAAUACAGUUGGAUAGAAUUCAACAAAUCCUUGGAACUUGUCUCUCACUCUCUGAAUAUAAGUCACCGCGAGCUGCAAGUUUUGUGAUGUUUGAUUGAUUUUGUCACAAUGUGUGAGGACUAUAGUUACAUUUGGUAGCAUGCACUGUUGGAUAGCUCUUCUCGAAUUGGAGACUAUGAACCUAAGCCAAUAUUGCAGGUCCUCUUCUAUCUCUUCUGCUGUCUUUGGCUCUCGGUUGCUGGGUUUUCUGAACAAACUGGAUAUGAUUAGGAAGAAUGAUGCACUUCCGUGCCCUGGAAACAUGAGAUCAUGGAGGGAGUAAAACUCGUGCUGGUCUGCAAGAUUCCAUAUAGAUAUCUUGGUGUCUUCAUCUUUGAAAGUCUUUAUCUUCAUUCCGUUUGUUCUAACAGCUUGUUCAACUGGAUUCACUAGAGUUCUCACUUGGUCCAUGUAGGGAAGCUUUGAAGACGAGAAGUUCUGUGAUAUGGAGUUACAAAGUGUAGUCUUGCCCGCAUAUUCUUGCCCGCAGAGGAAGACCCUACAGCUCUUUGGCUCAGUAAGUGGCAUGUCCUUGAGCAAAUCAGCUGUAUCUACUUCUGGUUCAGUCUUUCCAUUCUGGCCCAGUCUUUGAUAAAUUUCAUCAGUCCUCCCUGAAUUCUGCAGCGGUGUUCUUGAAAGAUCGAUGUCCUCAAUCCAAGGAUUGACCUGCAAUGUCUCCAUUAUUGUCUUUAGUACAAACUCUCCUUGAACCCCUCUACAACCUUGCAAAGACAAGUGUCUCAAACUGGCAUUCCUUUCUAAGCUCCUGAAAAUUUUGACAAAAUCGUCUGGUCUCAAACUCUCGUCAUCGCAUAUCCCCAACCUGGUCAGAGUCUCAUUAGUUGUCAGCAUUUGUAUAAUUGCCGUGAGCCCAUCCCUUCCAAUUUUUGUUCUCCCUCCUCCAAAGGUCACAGUCUUCAGUGUUAUAUUGGCUUGGCUUUGCAGGGCAGAGAACCUGCUCAAAGGGCAUAGCAAAUGCUCUACACCUAUCCCACUAAACCAGUUUCCAUCAACAUAUAGUCUUUCCAAACUCUGGUUCUUAAAGAGUCCAGCUGCAACAUAAACAACUCCCUUGUCCUUGAGGCAAGUUUUUGUCAAUCUUACCUCCUUGAGGCUCAGAUUUUGCUCCAAGACCCAUCGAAACUCUUUAGCCCAGCGUGAUUUCAGCCGGACUCCAGUCAUGUCAAGUGACUUCACUGUUGAGUUCCAUCCUAGAGAGCAAGCAACCCUGCAAGAACCAGAAAUGUUUAGCCUGUAAAUUCGAAGCGUGCUGCUCUCAGGUACAAACUCUACCACCUUGGAACUUUUCCCUCCAUUUUCUCCAGUCCAAACAUGGACCUCCAUGGUCCUAUUCCUUGCUAAAACAGCUGAUAUAAGUGGAGUUGCUGUGAUAUAGUGUGAAUCAAAAAUUGUCAAAAGCUUCAAUGUUGAGUUUAUUUCAAUCAUCUUUGAAAGCUCCUCUGCACCUUUCGACCCGAUUGAGUCUUCCCAUAUCUGCAACUCUUCCAAGCUCUCAUUUAACUUAAGAGCAGCAGCUAUAAGUCCAGCUCCAGCAGACCCUACCCCUGAUUCAGAAAACGUUACUUCUUUAAUCACUGUAUUCCUUUUUAGAAUCUCACAAAGCUCACAUAAGCAUUCUGUAUCAAAUCUGUUUCGUCGAAACACAAGCUGCCUGAUGUUUGGACUACUCUGGAGCAAUACUCCAAGAUAUACUACUUGCUCUAGUCCCCAAUCGACUCGGUGAAACUCAAGAUUCGUUAAAGAAGACUGAAUGUUUUUGUCAGUGCCCAAGUCUGAGAGGAUGUGUGAAAAGUUGGAAAUGCUGUCCUUGGAAAUGUUGACAUUCAGAGAUUGUUCUGUUUCUUGGUAACAGCCUGAAACUGGUUGAGAAAGGUAGAAGGAAAUGCUCUGUAGAUUGAGGGUUUGUGAUUUAAUGGCUUGCAGAAGCCAUUUUAGAUCUCUAAGGUUCCGGUUUGAUGCCAUGGCCAAGAUGGGAAGCUAGCCCUAGCUCUGUGCGCUUUACCUGAACAUUUUUUUCAAAGACAAAUUUGGAAGCAGCACAUGUUCUAAGAGAAAAGAACUAUUUCUUGCCGUAAUAUACAGAAAGGAAAAGGGACCUUUUGUUUUUCGGUGGAGAGAGGGUGCGCGUACUGUGUCAGAUAUUUGACAAUGUUGGCCAUGAGAGAGAGAGAGAGAUGAACUCAUGUUCUCAACUUCUUGGUGAAGGAUUCCUUUAAGAAAGCUUGUUUCAACUUUCAAAGGUAAUGGAUAGCUUCAGUCAUCAUUUUCUUUAGAUUCAGCAUUCAUAGAGUAACAUAUUUGGAUUCAGGCAUUAGGUUAC